Molecule: ribosomal RNA, 374 nt
Filed under: Streptomyces longissimus
Lineage: Bacteria; Bacillati; Actinomycetota; Actinomycetes; Kitasatosporales; Streptomycetaceae
Description: bacterial SSU rRNA
Rfam family: Bacterial small subunit ribosomal RNA
Source: RNAcentral
UUAGUGGCGAACGGGUGAGUAACACGUGGGCAAUCUGCCCUGCACUCUGGGACAAGCCCUGGAAACGGGGUCUAAUACCGGAUAUGACACGGGAUCGCAUGAUCUUCGUGUGGAAAGCUCCGGCGGUGCAGGAUGAGCCCGCGGCCUAUCAGCUUGUUGGUGAGGUAGUGGCUCACCAAGGCGACGACGGGUAGCCGGCCUGAGAGGGCGACCGGCCACACUGGGACUGAGACACGGCCCAGACUCCUACGGGAGGCAGCAGUGGGGAAUAUUGCACAAUGGGCGAAAGCCUGAUGCAGCGACGCCGCGUGAGGGAUGACGGCCUUCGGGUUGUAAACCUCUUUCAGCAGGGAAGAAGCGAAAGUGACGGUACC